Molecule: long non-coding RNA, 696 nt
Organism: Setaria italica (foxtail millet)
Lineage: Eukaryota; Viridiplantae; Streptophyta; Magnoliopsida; Poales; Poaceae
Exons: 2
Source: RefSeq, a predicted model, not a curated record
AAGGGUUGGCUCGUCAGAGAGUUCGUAGGCGUGUCGUGUUGGCUUCGCGGUCCCGCCGCCGCCGCCGGCCGCCGCGACACAAUCCUCGACUCUGCAUCCUCGCGACGUGCGGCGCUGAGGCUCUCUCAGGUACCCCCAGCCUCGCGACGAGAGGGCCGAACCAGCGCGUGGCCAUGGCCACCAAGCUGCUGGCUCAGCUCUGCACUGUCGCCCUGUCGCCCCUCAGGACAUCAUGAUUUCAUGGCUUUAGCUAGUGAACACCAAGACAAGUCAUUUUUACUGCUGGACAUGGAUAAGAGCUGGUUGUUUGUUGGUGGACACCGCACCUAUAUAUAUCAUUUUUUGGCCGCUUAGGAAGGAGAAAUAACUCAAAAUGUUCUCUUAUUUGUCCUAGUCAAGAAAAAAAGGACAGUAAUAUGGCAAAAUCCUCUCAAUAUUUGUUUUACUUUUAGAAAGAAGUAAACAAGCUAUCUGAUUUAGGUCCGGUUAAUACACUACUGUAGAAACUACUUGUACCACUUGAGUGUAACCUUGCGUCUGUGAAAAUCAGCAUUACUGCAGCUGGUUUGAGAGCUUACUUAAAAAUUAAUUCUCACAGUCAGUUCUAGUCAUGAAGCAUCUGUACAAAAUGUUUUUCUUUCAGCACAAGAUUGAAAUAUACACAAGUGCUACAAGGGGUACUCGGACCUGCAAUCA